CAACUGAAGAGUUUGAUCCUGGCUCAGAUUGAACGCUGGCGGCGUGGCUAAAGCAUGCAAGUCGAACGCACCCGCAAGGGUGAGUGGCGAAAGGGUCAGUAAUAACAUCGAACGUACCCCGAGGUGUGGGAUAGGCAUGGGAAACUGUGCGUAAUACCACAUGAUCUCUCCGGAGCAAAGGUUUACCGCCUUGGGAUCGGCGAUGUUCCUAUCAGCUAGUUGGCGGGGUAACGGCCCACCAAGGCGAUGACGGGUAGCCGGUGUGAGAGCACGACCGGCGACAUCGGGACUGAGACACUGCCCGGACUCCUACGGGAGGCUGCAGCGACGAAUCUUCCGCAAUGGGCGCAAGCCUGACGGAGCGACGCCGCGUGUGGGAUGAAGCGCCUACGGCGUGUAAACCACUGUCAGGGGGCAGAACCAACGAUCGCCCCCAGAGGAAGAGACGGCUAACCCUGUGCCAGCAGCCGCGGUAAGACAGGGGUCUCAAGCGUUAGUCGGAAUCACUGGGCUUAAAGGGUGCGUAGGCGGGCCAUCAAGUGCUUCGUGAAAUCCCCCGGCUCAACCGGGGAACAGCGGGGCAUACUGAUGGCCUCGAGGCAGGUAUGGGCGGGCGGAACUGUAGGUGGAGCGGUGAAAUGCGUAGAUAUCUACAGGAACGCCGAUGGUGAAGACGGCCCGCUGGGCCUGUCCUGACGCUGAGGCACGAAAGCGUGGGGAGCAAACAGGAUUAGAUACCCUGGUAGUCCACGCCGUAAACGAUGCUCGCUAGAUCGGGGUGGCUCUGACGCCGGCUCGGUCGAAGCAAAAGCGAUAAGCGAGCCGCCUGGGGAGUACGGUCGCAAGGCUAAAACUCAAAGGAAUUGACGGGGGCUCACACAAGCGGUGGAGCAUGUUGCUUAAUUCGAGGCAACGCGAAGAACCUUACCUGGGUUUGACAUGGUCGGAUUAACCCCGUGAAAGCGGGGCCACGCCCGCAAGGGUGGAACGAUCACAGGUGCUGCAUGGCUGUCGUCAGCUCGUGCUGUGAAGUGUCGGGUUAAGUCCCUUAACGAGCGCAACCCCUGUCGCUAGUUGCUCGGCGCAAGCCAGUACUCUAGCGAGACUGCCGGUGUCAAACCGGAGGAAGGUGGGGAUGACGUCAAGUCCUCAUGGCCCUUACAUCCAGGGUUGCAAACGUGCUACAAUGGCGCGCACAAAGCGUCGCGAGGCCGCAAGGCGGAGCAAAUCGCAAAAAACGCGCCCCAGUUCGGAUUGCAGGCUGCAACUCGCCUGCAUGAAGUCGGAAUCGCUAGUAAUCGGAGAUCAGCUACGCUCCGGUGAAUAAGUUCCUGAGCCUUGUACACACCGCCCGUCAAGUCAUGGGAGCCGGUAGCGCCCGAAGCCGCCACACUACUGUGGUGUCCACGGCAAGAUCGGUGACUGGGACUAAGUCGUAACAAGGUAGCCGUAGGAGAACCUGCGGCUGGAUCACCUCCUUU
This 1481-nucleotide ribosomal RNA is filed under the name Phycisphaerae bacterium. RNAcentral describes it as "bacterial SSU rRNA". It matches the Rfam family "Bacterial small subunit ribosomal RNA". Lineage: Bacteria; Pseudomonadati; Planctomycetota; Phycisphaerae. The record is from RNAcentral.